GCCGUGAACCAGCAGCAGGUCGGCGGGCAGGGACCGAACACCUGGGUCGGCAACGACGCCAACACGCUGCUGGUGGUGGCCACGCUGAUCACCACGCUCACCUACCAGCUCGGCACCAACAUCCCCGGCGGGUACUGGCAGGAGACAAAAUCGCUGGACGGCAGGGAGCUUUACCGCGCCGGCGACCCCAUCAUGCGCGACCUGCACCGCCCAAGGUACUGGUUGUUCAUGGCGGCGAGCUGGGUUGGGUUCGCGAGCUCGAUGGUGAUGACGCUGAGCCUGCUGGUGCGGAUGUCGGCGGACUCGCGGCACGUGCGGUGGUCGUUCGUGGUGGCCUACUCCAGCCUCGUGCUCACCUUCGUCUGGGCGGGCGUCCGCGCCUUCCUCUGGCUCGUCAUCAGCGUCCACCCGGAGCACCGCACGCGCAUCGUCCAGGCACUCUGCUGCAGCCACCGCAACUAG
Molecule: ribosomal RNA, 462 nt
Filed under: Triticum aestivum (bread wheat)
Lineage: Eukaryota; Viridiplantae; Streptophyta; Magnoliopsida; Poales; Poaceae
Description: partial small subunit ribosomal RNA
Source: RNAcentral